Molecule: ribosomal RNA, 271 nt
Filed under: uncultured bacterium
Lineage: Bacteria
Description: partial 16S ribosomal RNA
Rfam family: Bacterial small subunit ribosomal RNA
Source: RNAcentral
UGCAAGUCGAGCGAGAAAUUUUUUAGCUUGCUAAAAGAUGGAAAGCGGCGAACGGGUGAGUAAUAUGUUGAUAUCUGCCCCCAAGUCAGGGAUAGCCCAGGGAAACCUGGAUUAAUACCGGAUAAUCUCUACGGAGCAAAAAUUUAUUGCUUGGGGAGGAGUCUUCAUUCUAUCAGCUUGUUGGUAAGGUAAUGGCUUACCAAGGCUAUGACGGAUAACUGGUCUGAGAGGAUGAUCAGUCACAAUGGAACGGAGACAAGGUCCAUACUCC